CCAAAUGAUAUGAUCCCCCUAUAGGCCCCUUUUUCUUAAAAUGUAUUUUAAGAUUAAUUUACUUUGUGAGAAAAAAUAAAUGACAGCUGUACUAAAGCCAAAAUAAAUAUUUAGAUGUUAUAUUUAAAUAAGCAUUAGCUGUAAAAUAUUUUUCAAUUAAUUCAAAUAAUUAAGUUUUUUUUUUUUUUUAACAGACUCUCAUGCGACCUCUUCUUGGUGUCCCCAGACCAUUUUGAAAACACCUGGUCUAAAGAGACAUGUAAUCUGUCUUUGAAAUCCAUUUUAUUUUUAUUCAAAUUCCCUUUUUAUGUUUUAAUUUUUCUAGAAACUGUUGUAAUGGUUAAAUUAAAAAAUAAUAAUCAAAAAGCAUGUCCAAUUAAUUGAAAUCACACAAUUUCACAGCAAUUUAACAAAAAUUACCUUAAGGCCCUAUGAAAUCUGUUUUACUUUUUUCUCAAAUUCAGUUUUAUUUGUUACCAAAUUCUGUUUUACAUUAAUUAUCUGGAUUAUAUUUUAAAGGGUUCAUUAAUUUUCAAUAAUUAAAAGCAGGUCUAAUUUAUUUAAUAAAAAUACUUUUUUAAUUAUU
Molecule: long non-coding RNA, 586 nt
Organism: Cyprinus carpio carpio
Lineage: Eukaryota; Metazoa; Chordata; Actinopteri; Cypriniformes; Cyprinidae
Source: Ensembl